Small nuclear RNA from Cucurbita maxima (winter squash), 161 nucleotides. RefSeq annotates it as U1 spliceosomal RNA. The record is from RefSeq and is a predicted model, not a curated record. NCBI's taxonomy places the organism in Eukaryota, Viridiplantae, Streptophyta, Magnoliopsida, Cucurbitales, Cucurbitaceae. The transcript has a single exon.
UUACUUAUCUGGACGGGGUAAUUAUGCGACCAGUAAGGCCCAUUGCCUGGACAGGUGACCUUCAUUGAACUCGAAGGAGGGGUGCCCGUCCAAGGUCUGCCCAAAGUGUUAGAGCCUACGUCAUAAUAUUUCUGGCAGUUGCGGCCUUCCAAUGGCGUAAG